This is a long non-coding RNA of Homalodisca vitripennis (glassy-winged sharpshooter), 437 nucleotides long. RefSeq lists it as uncharacterized. The transcript is spliced from 4 exons. The record is from RefSeq and is a predicted model, not a curated record. NCBI's taxonomy places the organism in Eukaryota, Metazoa, Arthropoda, Insecta, Hemiptera, Cicadellidae.
AUGCGCCGUCGUAAAGUUUCUGUUUGUAUUUGCCUUCAUAACUGGUAUUUCCGCUUUUAUUUUAUGUGUUGUGUUCUAGUUGGUUAAAGACUCAAAAAGCUAUCUUUCAUCAAAGAUUUGGAGAUGCCUUGCUGUAUUGAGAGAGGAACAGAUAAAUGCUACGCUAUCGUUUAGUUUCCAGAUGGUAUUUAACUUGUACCGAAACUUUGGUUUUGUGAUGAUGCCUGUGGCCUAAUUAUCCGAAUCAACUAAACAUGAACAAAACAACAGCUGCUUACAGGACAUAGGUCCAUUGGUCUAGAGCUCAUAUUGAAAAUACAACCAAGGCUGAUGGUCAUCGCUAGAUGGCUUGUACAAAGGAAACUGAGGCACACAAGGUUAUUUUUGACGAUGGAAGGAUUGUGAAGGAAACAGGAUUUUUGGGACAUUUGCCUCAG